GUAAUAUAUCGGAACGUGCCUAGUAGUGGGGGACAACCAGUCGUAAGAUUGGCUAAUACCGCAUACGCACUUUGGUGGAAAGCGGGGGACCGUAAGGCCUCGCGCUAUUGGAGCGGCCGAUAUCAGAUUAGGUAGUUGGUGGGGUAAAGGCCUACCAAGCCUACGAUCUGUAGCUGGUCUGAGAGGACGACCAGCCACACUGGGACUGAGACACGGCCCAGACUCC
This 226-nucleotide ribosomal RNA is filed under the name uncultured bacterium. RNAcentral describes it as "partial 16S ribosomal RNA". It matches the Rfam family "Bacterial small subunit ribosomal RNA", at positions 110 to 339 of the family's 1533-position model. The record is from RNAcentral.